Molecule: ribosomal RNA, 492 nt
Filed under: uncultured bacterium
Lineage: Bacteria
Description: partial 16S ribosomal RNA
Rfam family: Bacterial small subunit ribosomal RNA
Source: RNAcentral
AGUGAACGCUGGCGGUAGGCCUAACACAUGCAAGUCGAACGGCAGCACAGUAAGAGCUUGCUCUUACGGGUGGCGAGUGGCGGACGGGUGAGGAAUACAUCGGAAUCUACUUUUUCGUGGGGGAUAACGUAGGGAAACUUACGCUAAUACCGCAUACGACCUACGGGUGAAAGCAGGGGAUCUUCGGACCUUGCGCGAUUGAAUGAGCCGAUGUCGGAUUAGCUAGUUGGCGGGGUAAAGGCCCACCAAGGCGACGAUCCGUAGCUGGUCUGAGAGGAUGAUCAGCCACACUGGAACUGAGACACGGUCCAGACUCCUACGGGAGGCAGCAGUGGGGAAUAUUGGACAAUGGGCGCAAGCCUGAUCCAGCCAUACCGCGUGGGUGAAGAAGGCCUUCGGGUUGUAAAGCCCUUUUGUUGGGAAAGAAAAGCAGCAGGUUAAUACCCCGCUGCUCUGACGGUACCCAAGGAAUAAGCACCGGCUAACUUCGUG